GAAACUUGUGCUAAUACCGGAUAAGCCCUUCGGGGGAAAGAUUUAUCGCCUUUGGAGCGGCCCGCGUCUGAUUAGCUUGUUGGUGAGGUAAUGGCUCACCAAGGCUACGAUCAGUAGCUGGUCUGAGAGGAUGGCCAGCCACACUGGGACUGAGACACGGCCCAGACUCCUACGGGAGGCAGCAGUGGGGAAUCUUGCGCAAUGGGCGAAAGCCUGACGCAGCCAUGCCGCGUGGAUGAUGAAGGUCUUAGGAUUGUAAAAUCCUUUCACCGGGGACGAUAAUGACGGUACCCGGAGAAGAAGCCCCGGCUAACUUCGUGCCAGCAGCCGCGGUAAUACGAAGGGGGCUAGCGUUGCUCGGAAUUACUGGGCGUAAAGGGCGCGUAGGCGGACAGUUAAGUUGGGGGUGAAAGCCCGGGGCUCAACCUCGGAAAUGCCUUCAAUACUGGCUGUCUUGAGUACGGGAGAGGUGAGUGGAACUCCGAGUGUAGAGGUGAAAUUCGUAGAUAUUCGGAA
Molecule: ribosomal RNA, 516 nt
Filed under: uncultured bacterium
Lineage: Bacteria
Description: bacterial SSU rRNA
Rfam family: Bacterial small subunit ribosomal RNA
Source: RNAcentral